CAAUCAGCAAAUAGCUCAAAAUUGCAUAUUAAUUCAAAAGAGCUUCCUCGUCCGUUCAACUUAGCGUGCAGGCUGCGCUUGUGCGUGUUCGAGAAGCUGGCUGACUAACUUGUAGGUCCGCCCUUGAAGGGCCUUAGUGUGGUCGAUCAGCUGCUCGUAACUGGAGAAAUCCAGUAUCCAAAUUGGAAGUCAUUACGAGAAGAGGAACAAACAAAUGUAGUUAUGGAAGGAACAUAGUAUGAAAGAUGCACAAAAUUAGGAACAUGGAAAUCUUACACAUUCAAUCGGUUAGGCUCCAUAACAACGGUUCCAGUCUCUGAAUCAAUCUUUGCAUCAAGUUUCGAGUUUCGGAUAAGAUUCACAAUCCAUCUCUCACCCUCCUCGUAAUUUAAAUUCAGUUUCUCAAAAAGCACCCUUGAAACACAUUAAACAUCCAUUUAAUGUUGGAUCAAAAGCUAAGACAAGCAACUAAAAAAACUAAUAAGUAAAAGCAUAUCUUGAAAGUGUUAAGAAGACCGACGGGAAGUAAUCACUAUAAUAAGAGAUACUCGAGCCUAUGUUCCUCGGAUUUGGGUGAGUUUCAGAUACCAGUAUGUUUAAUUGUUUUCUAAGUUUUUCCAUGCAUUGAAGGAUCAUAUCUUCAUAACCGCAAGACAAAUACUUCAAGAAAAAUGAACAGUCGUGAAAUGCAUAGAUAAUAGCAACCCAAAGGUUUAUGUUGUGAUGUUUUGUGAUCCGUGCAUGUCCCCGCUGUGCAGAUGAAAACAUGCUUUACAUCUGUUUUGAUUUAAUAUUUUGUACAAAAUUUCCUAAAAAAUUCAUAACUCAGUGCAAUGUUAUGAGAAACCCAGCAUGCAAAGCAAACUUUGAGCCUAUUGGCAAUUUAACAUUCAUAUGGAUGUCCUUCCGUGUCAUUUACUCAUAAGACGAAGUCAAUCAUCCACAUAAGAAGCUAAUUAUAUAAGUUUGACAAAGCAGGAACUUACCCCAUAUCAAUGCGCUGAUGAAUUCUGCAGUAUGUCUCGAAGAUAAAUAGACGAGCAUUCUCAAGAAACUCAUCUUUUAAUGGGACAGUAGAAAAGUUGCCCUCUUCAACUCUUUUUCCAAGGAAGGGAUCAUUCAGUAUCACCUACAACAAAGACGGAAAAUUAAGGGUGUAAAGAUAGAGCCUACAAUUCUGAUAUGAACCAUAAAGCUAAAGGCAACCAAGAAAGACGAUGAAACUUCAAGCUAAAACAUUGCACAAUUUUAUGGUAUAAGAUACUAUAAUCUUACUUCUUCACACUCCUUCAUCUUCUUCUGUGCUCCAUCAAAUUCAUAGUUGACAUAAACACAUGCCAAAAACUCCGUGAUGGGAUCUUUGUAAGAGCACUGAUCUUGCUGGAUAACCUUGAUAAAUUCUUUGAAUUGAGGUCUUCUCCUUUUGUUGACAAUAAAAGCAGUGGCUAAGUACCUUAGAAGAUGGGGAGCACUGGUUUGAAUGGCAUUUAGAUACCUGGAAAGAAGUGAAAUAACCUUGUAAGAAGAGACAACUACACAAAGUUGGAUAACAAAGAAAGGAAAUAAUGCAUUAACCAAUGAAAAAAACAGUAAAAAUAUCCAACUUCAAACACAAAUUUAUGUUUAGUUCCAACAACAAUCUCCCUUAUGAAACAAAAUUCCAACAUAAGCAAUAUGGCGAACAUAUCACAUACUUUAGCCUCGAAACUUUGAACAAAUACUUUGCUAAUUACAUGGCACGCUGUGUGUUAACUUUUCAUAUUAAAAAAAACAAUGCAAGUGACAGAAGAAAUCUACAAAGCUUCUAAACAUGUUCCAUUACAACGCAAUCAAAAUUGAAGCAUGUGAACAUCAGAAGUCAUGGCAUAAAAAUGCAGGAAAAUGCACAAAGAACAAAGAAGCACAAAUAUCAAGUGACAACUACACAAAUGAUGCAACUAACAACAUCAGUAACAAGACAUGGAAACCUUAAGGUUAGUUGUUAAAGUGACAUACUUGUCUUGAUUAAAUAGGUCGAUGAUUUGUGUUCUUCCAUUGUCAUGGUUGAAAAAGAUGAAGAGGCUCCAAUGCAUGAGCCAUAUUCUACUCUGAACUUGGUUCAAAGGUGAUGAGAAGCUCUGCAGCAAAAGACCAAUAAAUAAGUCAACGAAUAAUCGAAAAGCAAAUUGUCAAAAUAAAAACCGAAUAAUCAACAGGGAUAUAACCAAAACCUUGGAAUCGAUUAUUUCUUUCAAACGAUUAAGUUCUUCAAGAGCAAUAUCCCAGUUUUGCAUCAGUAUCUCGGCAGCAAGCUUCCCCCACAAUGCACUCAAACUCCUUUCGCUGUUACUACAUAAAGCCCGAUACUGAUACAGAUAGUCAGCAGCACCAGAGUAGUUGCCACACUCAAAUUGGAAUUUUGCAUACUGAUACAAUGCCUCUAUUUGAUCUGGACCAAUCUGUUAAAAAAUUAAUUUUAUCCACCAUUAAAUUUAAAAAAAAAACUUUAAUUAAUUCAAACCCAGUAAAAAUCAAAACUUUAACAACAAAGAGCAUGCUAGAAUUUUAGCAUAAGAAAGCAUAUGCAUCUACUUGGUUAUUCUUUAUAUUUUCCUUAAAAAUAUCAUAAUGUUAUGACUAAUACAAAUUCACACUUGAAUGGGUUAUUCACUAAAAAUCCUAAAGGGGUUAAAAAUAGCAUAAAAUAACCUUAAAUUCAUAAAUAAAGGCAGAAAAAACAGACCUGGUAGCGGUCAUUAAGCAUCUGGAGAUUAUACUGUUUAUCAGCACGCAAUUCCUGAACAGCGUUAGGGUUUUGCAAGAAAGAGACGAGAGGAGCGGCGGCAUCUUCCAAAGCUUUGAGACGAGCGACAACCUCGACUCUCCUCUCGACCAUGUCCUGAGGGACAUCAGCGGUGUGUAAAGGCUCUUAUGGAUAUCCAUAGCGUAAUCGACCAUGUUUGUCUUGUUCAAAAGCUCGAUCUUUGCUUUCAAGAUCUGUUCAUCUGGGUAUAGUUGUCGCUCUUGCAAGAACUCCAGCAAUGGAAACACUAAGUGCCUGUCUAGGUUCGGGCCGAUACGCGGGGUUAUAUCGUAAGUAGCCAUUGCCAGGGUUUACUCUGGUUUCUGGCUUCGUGCUUAUUGUUUGAUAUAAACAAAUUUUUAGUAUAUAUAUUCCUUCUCCACUCCCUCAAUUCAAAUGGAGUUAAGAGUUAAAAUAUAGUUUUAAAUUUAUUUUUUAUUUUCGAAUUAAAUAUAAUAAGUUGUUUUUACAAAAAAAAAAUACUAACCAUUUCUAAAAAAAUAUUUAUUAAUAUUAUUUAUAAUAAUUACUAGAUGAUACUAAUAUAUUUUAUACUAAUUUAAAUCUACUCCAAUAUAAAAUAUAUGUUUAAAAUUUCGUUUAAGUCACAUAUUGUUUGUAUUCCUCCCCCAUCCUUCUUCAGGAAUAGACAAUAUUAUUUGGACAUGCAUGGCUUCAAGUUUCUUUUUGAUCCAUAGCGUAUUUUAGCCUCUCAGAAAAUUUUUGGAAUUUUAAGGAUAUCCUCUAUAAGAAUAGCUGAAAAUACCAAUGGUCACAAAGAGUUAAUUUUUUUUCUUUGACUAGCCUUCAAGCAAAGACUUUUGUCUAAUCUAGAGCGAACUAGACGAGGAAUUGAUCAUAAUAGCUCAUAUCCUAUUUGUGGCCACGAAACAGAAGACAUGCUCCACGUGCUUCAAGAUCGUUCGGCAUCAAAGGAGGUUUGGUUACAGGUUAUAUCUUCUGGUAGAUAGUAGCGUUCUUCUCUGGGUUUCUUCAAGAAUGAUUGACUUCAAAUCUUGCCUGUCACGUCCAGUUGCCUAGUUGAGGGUUAAUUUAAUAUUGUUUAUUCAAUUUAAUUGUGUGGCGCAUUUGAAAGAAUAAGAAUCUGUUCAUCUUUCAAGACAUCACUUGGAUGACUCUCGGUACUAUCAAGGUCUCAUUUAGUUGGGCAUAACAACUUGAGUUAAGUCACAAAGGCCAUCAACAUUCUAAGGAAUCUAACGGUUCUUGAUCAGCCAUGGGGAAUACGUGAACACACUUAUUCACUGAUGGAACAGUAGCUAUUGGUAAUGGUAAUGCUUUCGUUGGAAGUGUUUUGCGAGACCAACAUGAGAACUGGACAUUGGGGUUUAAUCACUACAUUGGAAGAUACUUACUUUUCGAGGCUAAAUUAUGAGAAAUUUUAGAUGGUCUACUAGUAUCGUAGCAAAGGAUUUAAAAGGGCCACGAUGCAGUCUAAUAACCUUGAGAUGAUUAGGUCCUUACAAGAAAGUUAGUUAACAAAUUCUAGUAUUACAAUGCUUAAAAUGAUCAGAAGAAUUUUGCAAGCUAAAGGACAAUAGAGCAGUAGACACGCGCCUAGAGAACUUAAUCAUGCUGCUGAUUAUUUGGCUAAGAUGAAUUUACCGGGAAGACAAGCCUUCAAGUCUUUGAUGACACCCGGAACGAAGUUUUAAAGAUUAUAUAACAAGAGAAAGAUAAUGAUGUUUUUGUUAAUGUCAUGUUGAUGUAGUUCAGUUUUUAAUUUAAACACUAAAAAAAAUUUCAUUUAAAUUUAUUCAUAUUUAAGCCCGCCUGUAUUAUUAUUUUCAAAAUUUUAUAUUAUUUUUAAUAGGGGAGAGAUCCCUUACAUAUUAUUAUUUUUAAUAACACAUUUAAAUCCAAAGUUCUCAACACAACGCUGUACUUUUAAUAACUCGGUACAAGCAUUUAAAAAAUUUCUUGACAAAAGUUGAAAGAGCACCAUACAAUUUAGAUUUAGAUAAUGAUUUAUCAGUCUUGUUCCUACUCAAAAACUUAAAUCACUGUUAAAUUUGUCUGAAAGAAAUAAACAAUCAGCAAAUAGCUCAAAAUUGCAUAUAAAUUCAAAAGAUCUUCCUUGUCCGUCCAACUUAACGUGCAGGCUGUGCUUGUGCGUGCUCGAGAAGCUGGCCGACUAGCUUGUAGGUCCGCCCUUGAAGGGCCUUAGUGUGGUCGAUCAGCUGCUCGUAACUGGAGAAAUCCAGUAUCCAAAUUGGAAGUCAUUAAGAGAAGAGGAACAAACAAAUGAAGUUAUGGAAGGAACAUAGUAUGAAAGAUGCACAAUAUUU
RNAcentral lists this long non-coding RNA (5091 nucleotides) under Gossypium barbadense (sea-island cotton). Its description in RNAcentral is "long non-coding RNA (GBAR_LNC011010)". The record is from RNAcentral. Lineage: Eukaryota; Viridiplantae; Streptophyta; Magnoliopsida; Malvales; Malvaceae.